This is a long non-coding RNA of Astyanax mexicanus (Mexican tetra), 2551 nucleotides long. RefSeq lists it as uncharacterized. The record is from RefSeq and is a predicted model, not a curated record. The transcript is spliced from 4 exons. Lineage: Eukaryota; Metazoa; Chordata; Actinopteri; Characiformes; Acestrorhamphidae.
CGCUUUCCCCGCCCGCCCUAUGUAGGGAGCGUGUGUGGGGAUUGGAGCGCGCCCGCAGUGUUGUUAGCCUGAGUUUUAAACCGGGUUUAUUAGAUUUACACUGAGAUCGGACUGUCUGGAAAGCGCACUCCUCAGAAACCACAGAUGGAGCCAUGAGGCCACGCCCCUUCUCCACUGCUGCUGCCACUCACAGCCGCGUCCAGCCUGGAAACACCAUGAACUGUAACUCCGCCCUCCGGCAGCUAUGACUCCGUCAUCCUCCCGUCCAGAAAACGACCGGACUGCAGAGCAUCACCUGCUUCCCCACCAGCCUCAGGACCCUCGUCCCCACCAGCCUCAGGACCCUCGUCCCCACCAGCCUCAGGACCCUCGUCCCCACCAGCCUCAGGACCCUCGUCCCCGAAACUGAGGACAUCCAGCUGAUCAGAGACCUGCUGCAGCGGGACCCCGAGAAACCACCAGCCGCCCGCCAGGUGGUGUCGGGUUCAUCACUGUUUGAAGUGUUGAUGGAAGGUACAGAAUGAAUAACACUGUAUGCGGGUUUGUUCCUGAAGGUCGGCUGUGAUUGGCUGUUUCAGAGCUGAAGUUCUUACUGUUCGCCGGUUCCCCCAGGGCUCCGUCCGCUGCCGUUCACUCUGCUGACUCGAACCACGUGAUCAAGCAGGGGGUUUUGCUGAACUUUUCCAGUGCGUCGGAUGCGUUUUUAGACUGUAAGCGUAUAUAUUACAUUAUUGAGACUAUUACAAUAAUUUUCUUCAACUGGAACUCAACUUGCUUAUUGAGAAAACGUAUAUCGAUGACAUGAUUACUUUCUCAAGUACUCAACGUCAACUUAUAAUAAUACAGAAGAGGAGUUAUAUAGACAAACAAUAGACUUUCAUUAAUAUAUUACUGUCUUGAUUACUAAAUUGCACUACAUUAAUUCUUGAUAGAUAACUUCCUCAAUUUCUCAUGUCAUUCUUAAUAUAUUACUUUAAUUACUCCACUUCAUUCUUAAUUACACUUCAUUCUAGAUAUAUUACUUUCUUUAUUACACUUCAUUCUGAAGAGCAAAACCAAAACUUGAUAGCUGAAAUAAAGCAGGAAUUGCACUUAUCAAUAACCAAACGAAAGUCUCCAGGGGUUUGUUUGGAGAAUGCUAAAAUUUAGAUAUACAGAGAUGGAAUAGCGUGUCUUAUUUAGCUCUACAGUCGAGAGUGGAGGAGAUUAAAAUGAAGAUGUUGAACUUUACCACUGGAGGUUCCCUCACGUUUGAUGAAUGGAAAAAGUUCAUAUCAAGAUUUUUGUGGAAAAGGAAAAAACCUAGAAUCAUAUUCAAAACACUGAUACUGAGAAAAGACAGAGGACUGAAAAUAUUACCAUGCAGCUCAAUUAAGAUAAAUAGUUUAUUGCAAUGGAAAUCAAUCCAUUAACCAACCAGACAAUCAACCAACCAACCUUUAUUUCCACUCAGUAAAUACAUUAAGAGUGAUCCUCGUUUUCAAUGCAGCCAAGCAUACACAACAUUAAAGGGACUGAAAAUUAAAUAUAAAUGAUAAAAACAAGCAAACAAUGUAAGAUUUACAUAAGAAAAAUAAAGUAAUUAAACAAAAGUAACCACAAUUAAAAAAGUAAAUAAUGGAACUAAAAUAAUAUGAAUAAAAUAAAAAGGUAAAAGGCCAAAUGUAAAAGCAGUAACAAAACAAAUAAAAGGAUAAAAUGAAUAAAAUAAAAUUAGAUAAAUAAAAAGACAAAACAAUUAAAAUAAGUAAAAAGGUAAAAUAAAAAACUCAACUAAAACAGGUACAGGUGGUUAGAUAAUAAAAGUUUAAAACGAUUUAGUGACACAGUGAGUUUUAGUGUUUCCUGUACCUUUAUGCAGAGGAAUAACAUUAGCUGUCAGAUAAAAUGGAAAGGUUAAAAAUAUACAUAAUUUGCUCUAAAAUAACAGAGGUUACAAGUAGAGAUCCAGACCAUCCGCACCUGUAAUUUUAUCACGGUUAAUAAUUAAUCACAUGCAUGUUUAUGUUUAUGUAGAGCUGGUAGAGAGGAGGACAGAUGAGGAACGAGUCUCAUAUGCUUCUAUCUAUCUAUAAAUUAUUGCAAUCUAUCAGAAUGGUCAAAAUAAUAUGAAAAAUCUAACCAAUAAGGUGUGGGAGUCAUUAUCAUGCACCAUUUGAAGGCGGGACUUCCUUUUCUGAACCAUGGUCACAGGAGCUUAUUUGCUUUAGUAAUAUUUCUAAAAAUUAAAUAAAUUCUAAAUAAAAAUUAUGUGUAUUAAUGUGUCAACAAGCAAUUUGUCAGGUUUUAUGAAAGUUUUUUUAUUUUUUAUGUACAGAAAUUAAGUUUAUCUUUUCGUUGCCUCAGGGCAACGUUGUGCAAUAACGGGCAUUUUUCAGGCAUGUCUUUGCUAACAAUGUGUUUGGAUGUUAUUACAUAUCAUAUUUUGUGCACAAACUGCAAAUAUAGUUGUAUUUAUUUAAUUGUACACUUUUAACACAUUUUGCCAGAGAAAUGGGUACAAGAUUGUUCUAUAGAAGAAAAGACAAAAUACAAAAUUGGGGUGAAGAUA